This 445-nucleotide ribosomal RNA is filed under the name uncultured bacterium. RNAcentral's name for it is "partial 16S ribosomal RNA". It matches the Rfam family "Bacterial small subunit ribosomal RNA", at positions 354 to 796 of the family's 1533-position model. The record is from RNAcentral.
GUAGGGAAUAUUGGACAAUGGGCGAAAGCCUGAUCCAGCCAUGCCGCGUGAUAGAUGAAGGCCCUCUGGGUUGUAAAUAUCUUUUAUCUGGGAAGAAACUCCUCUAUUCUUAGAGGCCUGACGGUACCAGAGGAAUAAGCACCGGCUAACUCCGUGCCAGCAGCCGCGGUAAUACGGAGGGUGCAAGCGUUAUCCGGAUUCACUGGGUUUAAAGGGUGCGUAGGCGGGUUGAUAAGUCAGUGGUGAAAGCUCCGGGCUUAACUUGGAAACUGCCAUUGAUACUGUCAGUCUUGAAUGUCGUAGAGGUAAGCGGAAUGUUGCAUGUAGCGGUGAAAUGCUUAGAUAUGUUACAGAACACCAAUUGCGAAGGCAGCGUACUAUGCGAUAAUUGACGCUGAGGCACGAAAGCGUGGGGAGCAAACAGGAUUAGAAACCCCGGUAGUCC